This 72-nucleotide transfer RNA is filed under the name Daphnia pulex (common water flea). It matches the Rfam family "tRNA". From Rfam's summary of the family: Transfer RNA (tRNA) molecules are approximately 80 nucleotides in length. The record is from Rfam by way of RNAcentral. Lineage: Eukaryota; Metazoa; Arthropoda; Branchiopoda; Diplostraca; Daphniidae.
UCCCAUAUUGUCUAGCGGUUAAUAUACCUGGCUCUCAUCCAGGAGGCCCGGGUUCAAUUCCCGGUAUGGGAA